Molecule: ribosomal RNA, 253 nt
Filed under: uncultured bacterium
Lineage: Bacteria
Description: partial 16S ribosomal RNA
Rfam family: Bacterial small subunit ribosomal RNA
Source: RNAcentral
UACGUAGGGUGCGAGCGUUAAUCGGAAUUACUGGGCGUAAAGCGUGCGCAGGCGGUUUUGUAAGCCAGAUGUGAAAUCCCCGGGCUUAACCUGGGAAUGGCAUUUGGGACUGCAAGGCUGGAGUUUGGCAGAGGAGACUGGAAUUCCUGGUGUAGCAGUGAAAUGCGUAGAUAUCAGGAGGAAUACCGAUGGCGAAGGCAGGUCUCUGGGCUGACACUGACGCUCAUGCACGAAAGCGUGGGGAGCAAACAGG